RNAcentral lists this ribosomal RNA (253 nucleotides) under uncultured bacterium. Its description in RNAcentral is "partial 16S ribosomal RNA". It matches the Rfam family "Bacterial small subunit ribosomal RNA", at positions 524 to 776 of the family's 1533-position model. The record is from RNAcentral.
UACGUAGGGUGCGAGCGUUGUCCGGAAUUACUGGGCGUAAAGAGCUCGUAGGUGGUUUGUCGCGUUGUUCGUGAAAACCGGGGGCUUAACCCUCGGCGUGCGGGCGAUACGGGCAGACUUGAGUACUGCAGGGGAGACUGGAAUUCCUGGUGUAGCGGUGGAAUGCGCAGAUAUCAGGAGGAACACCGGUGGCGAAGGCGGGUCUCUGGGCCGAUACUGACGCUGAGGAGCGAAAGCGUGGGGAGCAAACAGG